GUGAAGUUUGACAUAAAAACUGGUCCCGUAGUCUGUGUAGUCAGCGGCUAAUUUCAUUUCACAAAUGUCCAAUAUGGCAGAUUCCCCUGUUUUAAAGAGGCAAAGAACGACGACUAAAACUAACUGUACUUUAGUCGAAAUGUUUUUAAAAUGGUGCGAAAGGGUUGGUUUAGAAUUGAGCAAAAAGGUUACGGUGCGGGAACAAGGUUCGUGUCAUAGGUUCGGAAUGAUAGCUUUGGACGAUAUAGAUGAAGGGGAAACACUUUUCCAAAUUCCAAGAACCAUUUUACUGGAGCCGAGUAACACAGCGAUUUCUCAAAAAGUGUUAGAGUUUUCGAAAAAAAUACCAGAUAUAGAGACCAGAAAUCGGUGGUUACCACUUUUAUUGACUUUGCUAUACGAAUACACUAAUACAAGAUCAAAAUGGAGACCAUAUUUGGACCUAAUUCCCGAGGAAGAUGUCCUCAAUCAACCGAUAUUUUGGACUGAAGAUGAACGUGAUUACUUGACGCUGAUUGGUCUUAAAGAUCACGUUAACGAUGACUUAAUGAAUAUCGAAUUGGGAUAUAAUAAAUAUAUCUUGCCUUUCAUGAAUAGUUACCAAGACUUAUUUGACCCAGCAGUUCAUACCUUCGUACUAUACAAACGUCUGGCUGGUUUUGUCAUGGCAUAUAGCUUUUCACAUGAUGACAGUGAAAAUGCUGAACCAACGAUGGUUCCCAUGGCAGAUAUCUUAAAUCACGUCACUAACAAUAAUUCACAUCUCGAGUUUGGUGACAAAUUUCUGAGUAUGGUGACAACGACAGAAGUAGCUAAGGGUGAUGAAUUAUACAAUACAUACGGAAAUUUGGACAAUUGUAAUCUUCUGCGUUCGUAUGGAUUUGUUGAAAAACGCCAAACUGUUAUGAUGAGGUUGAAAUACCACUCAUGGUAUUUCAAGAUAUUUUGGCGCUAACCGAAAAGGAAUGGGAAUUGAAGUUGUCUCGAUGGUAUUAUGAGUGCGAAAACUCCAUGGAUCCUAAUGAAGAAUUGAUCUUCUAUACAGAGGCUGGAACAUCUUGGACGCAAAGACAGUUGUAUUCAUUUUUCAAGAUCAUGUUAGAAAAGAUGAGUCCUGAAGAAAGACGAAACACAAUUUCAGUAAACAAAAAGUCGAGAAGUUUUGAAGACAUAGAGC
RNA transcript from Xenia sp. Carnegie-2017, 1177 nucleotides. It is a transcript of the gene named N-lysine methyltransferase setd6-like, with no coding region annotated. The record is from RefSeq and is a predicted model, not a curated record. The transcript is spliced from 8 exons. Lineage: Eukaryota; Metazoa; Cnidaria; Anthozoa; Malacalcyonacea; Xeniidae.